Molecule: ribosomal RNA, 464 nt
Filed under: uncultured Klebsiella sp.
Lineage: Bacteria; Pseudomonadati; Pseudomonadota; Gammaproteobacteria; Enterobacterales; Enterobacteriaceae
Description: bacterial SSU rRNA
Rfam family: Bacterial small subunit ribosomal RNA
Source: RNAcentral
CCUACGGGCGGCUGCAGUGGGGAAUAUUGCACAAUGGGCGCAAGCCUGAUGCAGCCAUGCCGCGUGUGUGAAGAAGGCCUUCGGGUUGUAAAGCACUUUCAGCGGGGAGGAAGGCGUUAAGGUUAAUAACCUUGGCGAUUGACGUUACCCGCAGAAGAAGCACCGGCUAACUCCGUGCCAGCAGCCGCGGUAAUACGGAGGGUGCAAGUGUUAAUCGGAAUUACUGGGCGUAAAGCGCACGCAGGCGGUCUGUCAAGUCGGAUGUGAAAUCCCCGGGCUCAACCUGGGAACUGCAUUCGAAACUGGCAGGCUAGAGUCUUGGAGAGGGGGGUAGAAUUCCAGGUGUAGCGGUGAAAUGCGUAGAGAUCUGGAGGAAUACCGGUGGCGAAGGCGGCCCCCUGGACAAAGACUGACGCUCAGGUGCGAAAGCGUGGGGAGCAAACAGGAUUAGAUACCCUAUAGUC